This 73-nucleotide transfer RNA is filed under the name Dermacentor andersoni. Its description in RNAcentral is "transfer RNA threonine (anticodon CGU)". It matches the Rfam family "tRNA". Rfam says of the family: Transfer RNA (tRNA) molecules are approximately 80 nucleotides in length. Their secondary structure includes four short double-helical elements and three loops (D, anti-codon, and T loops). The record is from RNAcentral. Lineage: Eukaryota; Metazoa; Arthropoda; Arachnida; Ixodida; Ixodidae.
GCCGCGGUAGCUCAAGUGGUAAGAGCAUCGCACGCGUAAUGCGAGGACGUGGGUUCGCGCCCCACCUGCGGCC